AGCGAACGCUGGCGGCAGGCUUAACACAUGCAAGUCGAACGGGCAUCUUCGGAUGUCAGUGGCAGACGGGUGAGUAACACGUGGGAACGUACCCUUCGGUUCGGAAUAACUCAGGGAAACUUGAGCUAAUACCGGAUACGCCCUUUUGGGGAAAGGUUUACUGCCGAAGGAUCGGCCCGCGUCUGAUUAGCUUGUUGGUGGGGUAACGGCCUACCAAGGCGACGAUCAGUAGCUGGUCUGAGGAUGAUCAGCCACACUGGGACUGAGACACGGCCCAGACUCCUACGGGAGGCAGCAGUGGGGAAUAUUGGACAAUGGGCGCAAGCCUGAUCCAGCCAUGCCGCGUGAGUGAUGAAGGCCUUAGGGUUGUAAAGCUCUUUUGUCCGGGACGAUAAUGACGGUACCGGAAGAAUAAGCCCCGGCUAACUUCGUG
Molecule: ribosomal RNA, 433 nt
Filed under: uncultured bacterium
Lineage: Bacteria
Description: partial 16S ribosomal RNA
Rfam family: Bacterial small subunit ribosomal RNA
Source: RNAcentral